This 446-nucleotide ribosomal RNA is filed under the name uncultured bacterium. Its description in RNAcentral is "partial 16S ribosomal RNA". It matches the Rfam family "Bacterial small subunit ribosomal RNA", at positions 338 to 795 of the family's 1533-position model. The record is from RNAcentral.
CCUACGGGGGGCUGCAGUCGAGAAUAAUUCACAAUGGGGGAAACCCUGAUGGAGCGACGCCGCGUGGGGGAAUGAAGGUCUUCGGAUUGUAAACCCCUGUCAUGGGGGAGCAAAUUAAAAAGAUAGUACCACAAGAGGAAGAGACGGCUAACUCUGUGCCAGCAGCCGCGGUAAUACAGAGGUCUCAAGCGUUGUUCGGAAUCACUGGGCGUAAAGCGUGCGUAGGCUGUUUCGUAAGUCGUGUGUGAAAGGCGCGGGCUCAACCCGCGGACGGCACAUGAUACUGGGAGACUAGAGUAAUGGAGGGGGAACCGGAAUUCUCGGUGUAGCAGUGAAAUGCGUAGAUAUCGGGAGGAACACUCGUGGCGAAGGCGGGUUCCUGGACAUUAACUGACGCUGAGGCACGAAGGCCAGGGGAGCGAAAAGGAUUAGAUACCCCAGUAGUC